Long non-coding RNA from Aegilops tauschii subsp. strangulata, 2490 nucleotides. RefSeq lists it as uncharacterized. The record is from RefSeq and is a predicted model, not a curated record. NCBI's taxonomy places the organism in Eukaryota, Viridiplantae, Streptophyta, Magnoliopsida, Poales, Poaceae.
UAUAUUUCAUUUUGUUAUCUUAAUAUGCAAGUAUAUGUGCCUAUUUCAUUUGCUUGUAUCCAUCCUUUUUAGUACAUGGAUCAGUCUUUAUUUAUUCAGGUUCAGACAUUGCGCAACUGAAGACUGUGUAUACUAGUCGAAGGCACGAGCUAUGCACGUGUUCUUCACUCACUCAUCCGUUUACUUGAGCAACAUUUAUUUUGAGACGGGAGUAGUAUGUAUGCUGUUGAGUGUUAAAUCCCGUCCAAAGGAUUGGCAAGUUGCUGCUUCGAAACUUGGUAGAUACAAACGAUUAGUGCUCUGUACAAGCUAGUUGUUCACGGAGUAGAAGGAAGGUUACUCUAGUCAUCGUUGUUUCCCGAUCAUAGCCACAAAAGAUCUUGAAUAGCAGAGUUUCACCAGUGGGCCCAUUUGGAGCCGUCAGGAUUCCAGAAAGGUCCCGGAGUCGUUUUGGCGCCUGCCCGUACAUAGCGAAUCUAAGAAAUGUCAACCAUUAGAUCUCUUGCGCAAGGUACUGAUGAACGGUGGAUAUUCAUUUUAUGGAACAAAUCAAUGACUUGUAUUUGCUCUGGAGUCUGGGCGGACUGCUAAUCCAAAUUCAAAAAAACUGUGUACUAUAGUAGUAGGGAAAUGUAGCGCUCUAUAAAGUUUUUGGUGCCUCCAUCUGAAAGAGCUAAAUUUAUAGACAUGAGUGUGGAUUUGAUAUUAAAAAUUUCUCUACAAAAGUAGCUACUUUUCCUGCCCUGAUUUACCAUCUAGCUAAUUAUUUCAUAGGAGUUCAAUACUGAGGUAACAUUUUUUUCUCUCAAACUUGUGCUUGAAUGUACCAAUGAAGAUGCUCUUCACAACUCUAAUUCUUGGUGCCAAUGGGUAUUCUUCCAUUUACUAUGAUUAAGUGCUCUUUGUGCUAAUUCUGGAUGUUAAAAGAAAACGAACUUUGACUAAUGAACAUGUAGUUGGAAUGAACAAGUACCCUUGUUUAUCUCCAUUGAUCGAUUGAUGUGAGAUCAUUUAGUUCACUCGUCAUCACGCACAUAUACUUGUACAUGUAAGAAGAGCAAUCAGAUAGAGAAUCUCUUUCUGUCUCUUCUCUGUUUGCUACAAAUAUAGACUGAAAGUGGAGUAUUGCUUCUAGAAUUUAAAGAUUUGAACUUGCAAAAGUGUUAGUUCUCUGAUAUGAAGUUUAUUAUUUAUGUUCUGUGAAAGUUGUUGUCUGAAUGUGAUAUUCCCAUAUAUUAUAUAAAGAACAAGUUCACAUCGGUACCAAAAAUUAAGCUUGGACAUGUUGCUUGCCUGAAUAUGAUAUACCCAUCUAUGUUGCUUGCCUGUGCUAUCAGCUACUGUGAUCUAUCUUUCAUACUUAUAUACACAUUAUGCUUGGACAUGUGUUGUUUGUGCGAAAGGAAACAUCUAGUAUUUUGUAAUGCUUGAACUCAGGGUAGUCACUACUCAAAUAUUUCUCCAUUUAAUCGAGUAAGAACAGUUCUUCAGAACAUUUUAUCGUUUUCAUCUUCAGACAUCUUGAUAGGAAGCACCAGGGAAUGUUUGCAGUUUCAAUUUAUAUUGUACAUAAAGGACUGUAGAUAUGCUCUCUGCCAGUGAAAACUUCUAAAUGAUCUAUGCACUAAGGCAGUGCCGCAGUGGAUACUUCUAAAUGACUGCACACAUGUUUUAUUAAGUCUUAUCAGUAUAGGGGGUUCAAUAAUCUUUUGGUGCUAAACAAGUGGAUGCUACAACUGAAUACUAAAUCAGUAAAACACUGUAGGAGUUUUACAAGCAAGCUUUGGGUAAAACGAUUUUUGUAUUGUGCUGUUUAUUCCCAUUGGUCGAUCGAUGUGAGAUCAUCUAGUUCAACUGUCAUCAUGCACAUAUACUGUUACAUGGAAGAAAAAUAACUAGCUAGAGAAAAUAUUUAUGUCUCCUUUCAUUUUGCUGCUAAGACAGACUGAAAGUGGAGUACUCUUCUAGAAUUUAAUUGUUAUUACAUGCUGCUUUUAUAAGGUUGGGGUCUUCAAUCUAGUUUUUACUCAAUAAGUUAAUGUUUCUUAAGAAUAACAUGAAGCAUGGAUUCUUAUAUGUUCCAUGUAUUAUGUCAGGGCAAGUAAUUAUCAGCUGAGCAAAGGCUACAACAUGCUAGGAGGAGAAGUUUGAAUGGAGGCAGAGAGUACACUUGGAAAUAGAAUGGAAAAAGGAAGAGGAGACAAUGCUGAAGCACAAGAGCGAGAGGCUAGCGGAAGUUAAAGCAAUAAACUAUAAGCAUUUUGAAUGAUUAGGGCCUCGUGUUGUUGGGAACAUUACAACCAUGGGGAAAGCUAAUUUUGGUUGCGAGUUUAGCAUAGAAGCCACUAUAUGCUCAUUCUGGUCGUGUGUCGCAUCCAAAAACAUAUGUAAUUUUCCUUUUGUUGCACAACAUCCUUAUAUAUGGGCGUUUCUAGAAACAUAUGUAUUUGGUCGUUAAUUUUAUUGAAUGAAGUUAAAGUUUUAUGAUGA